AUUGAACGCUGGCGGCAGGCCUAACACAUGCAAGUCGAGCGGGGUUUUCGGACCUAGCGGCGGACGGGUGAGUAAUGCGUAGGAAGCUACCCGAUAGAGGGGGAUACCAGUUGGAACGACUGUUAAUACCGCAUAAUGUCUACGGACCAAAGUGUGGGACCUUCGGGCCACAUGCUAUCGGAUGCGCCUACGUGGGAUUAGCUAGUUGGUGGGGUAAUGGCUCACCAAGGCGACGAUCCCUAGCUGGUUUGAGAGGAUGAUCAGCCACACUGGAACUGAGACACGGUCCAGACUCCUACGGGAGGCAGCAGUGGGGAAUAUUGGACAAUGGGCGCAAGCCUGAUCAGCCAUGCCGCGUGU
This 360-nucleotide ribosomal RNA is filed under the name uncultured bacterium. RNAcentral describes it as "bacterial SSU rRNA". It matches the Rfam family "Bacterial small subunit ribosomal RNA", at positions 30 to 404 of the family's 1533-position model. The record is from RNAcentral.